UUCCUCAAGACGGAUUUGAACCAGCGACCUAUGGAUUAAUAUCUUUGCAUCUAGUCCACUGUUCGGCCAACUAAGCUAACGAGAGA
This is a non-coding RNA of Cordylochernes scorpioides, 86 nucleotides long. The record is from the annotation of a GenBank genome assembly. NCBI's taxonomy places the organism in Eukaryota, Metazoa, Arthropoda, Arachnida, Pseudoscorpiones, Chernetidae.